Daucus carota subsp. sativus is the source of this 2944-nucleotide long non-coding RNA. RefSeq lists it as uncharacterized. The transcript is spliced from 9 exons. The record is from RefSeq and is a predicted model, not a curated record. Lineage: Eukaryota; Viridiplantae; Streptophyta; Magnoliopsida; Apiales; Apiaceae.
ACUAUCACCCUUCAACAUGCUUUUAAUUACAGCUGCUGCCAUUCCACCUGAUACACUCCGCUGUCGACACGUCGCUGAAGCACGUGGGCCUCCAAUUUUUGCUGCCAACUCACAGCAGGCAACACAGAUUGUAUAACCGAAGCUACAAAAGAUAAAAAGACAAGGCUUCUCAGCGAAGCUUUCACUCCCGCGAUUGCAAGGACAUCUAUUCAAUUUUCAAAUUUCAAAUUAGUGAAAGACUACACGCAAACAUCAGGAAUUCAAAUUUGAUAAAUUGGAUUCAAAAGAUAGAGGAUGCAUAUAUGUCGCUAUAGGUGCUGCUAUCUCCUUUUUCUUUCUUUCUUUUUUCCAUAAUCCCUCUUAAGUUUCUAUGUUUUUUAUUUGUAAUAUUUCAUCUGUUUAAUUUCUGUUUGAACCAUUAUAUUUCUGAAGAUUUUUUAUCUUUUAGUUGCAGGUGAAAUUUUCGUUCUUCAAGUGUUUGAUGAUUUGCGUGAAAGAAAAGAAUGAUAGUUUGUCAAUUUUUGAUCUUUCUUUAUAUAUGGUUAUGUUUUGGUUAUUAAAGUUUUUGCUUAUUACAAAUUAAAUUGUGGAGGAAGGCAUUGAAAAUGAAAAUCACUGAGUGAUGGAGUUGAUUUUGUCUAUAACCUGUCUAAUAACUUUGAUCUAUUUUCAGCAGUUGAACUUCGUCCGGAAUCUGUUUGAUAAUUUGCUCAAAAGAACAAGAUUGAUGAAUAUAUCAUUAUUCAAUUAACUUUUGUGUGCGACUAUGUUAUCUGAAUGAUCCUGUAUCAACGAAGACAACAAUAGAUGAAGAAGGUUGGUUGCACACUGGAGACAUAGGCUUCAUCAACGAGGAUGAUGAGCUAUUUAUUGUUAAUAGAUUGAAGGAAAUUAUCAAAUAUAAAGGCUUUCAAGUAGCCCUGGCCGAAAUUUCAGCUCUGCUACUUACUCAUCCUACAAUUUCAGAUGCUGCAGUUGUUCCCAUGAUCGAUGAGAAAGCUGGAGAGGUGCCUGUAGCGUUUGUUGUGAGAUUAAACGGUUUCACCACCACUGAGGAAGAAAUCAAGCAAUUUGUCUCAAAAUAGCUAUGUUUGUCGACUUCGGCCUGGCAAAGGAAAGAAAUGGAGGCUGCUAUCUAAGGUGAUAAUAUUUUACCCCCAAGUAAUGGUUGUAAAUGUAUUAUCUUUUCUUUGAGUACUUUGUAAAGGUAUUGUACUUUGGACUAUUCUGAAAAUGAAAUGCUUGAAACUGGAAUGGUAAUAAUGCCUAUGCAGAAAGUAUGUUCCAACAAACUAAUUGAAGACUGAGGAAACCGGAGUAAAAAACAUAUAAUAAAAGCAGGGAAGUGGAAGAGAUUGCAAUGUGGUAGAAGUUGUAGAUUGUUUGCAUAUUACAACUUGCCCUUUUGCAGGUUCUGCAAAGUCUAUGCUAUCCGGAAAGAAUGUUGUAGAAGCUAAUAGAUUUGUCAAAGAACUAAGUAGCUUGAGUUUGAAACCUCCAAGCACAGGCCUAGAAAUUCCAAAAUUGAUUGCAAGGCGUAUGGCAGAUUUAUGUGGUGAAGUUAGUUAUCAACUUCCAUCCUCAAUCCAAUUACUUCCAUCCCCUGCAAUUCUUUUCUAGCGCUGAUCCUGAAAUGGUUAAAGCAAACUAUAGUUGUUCAUGUGUUAAUAUUAUUGGCAUUGCUAGAGCUCCACACAGCGAUGGAAAGGAAGCUAUUGUCUCGGUAACACCUUACAAUUCUACAGAUAUUAGUUUGGAUGGGAGAUCUUUCUGCUGAGGUUAGUGAGGAGAAUCGCGUUGCUGCUCAGGAGGACAAGGGGAAGGCUGUAAAAGCAAUUUCUGAAGACUGACUGAGAGCCCACUUACACUUCACUUAAGUGAAGAUUACCCCAGCAAGUCUCCUAAGUGCAAGUUUCCAGCUGAUUUUUUCCACCAUAAGGUUUACCCUUCUAAAACUGUGUGUCUAUCCAUUCUCGAUGAAGACAGUGCGAGUAAACUUUGUAACUUGACAUAUGUUAAUAAAUUGUGUGGAGCUAAUUACUAACUGUAUUGGAACUUGGUUUCAGGGGGCCAGCAAUUAUAUUGAAGCAGAUUCUAUUUGGUAUCGAGGAUUAAUAAAUUUUAAUUAUACGUGUAAAAAUGUGGUGGCAAAGCCUCAGAAUGUUAUAAAAACUCAUCUGUUAAGCAACAUUUUCCCUGCAAGUUAUGCCACAUGCUUCAAAUAACGCCUGAUAUAGUGGUGCAAAUCUGAUAUAAAGUCCGCACAAGUUUGAGGGACUUGAGAAAAAGAAAUCAUAGUCCCUGAGAUUUCAAUUUUCUUUUGUUGUAGAAUGCUGUGGUUCCCACUACUAAUAGUGACGUUGCUGUUCAGCAUUACUUCAGCUGAUCAAGCAUUAAUUGAUAUUAUUUGCUCCAGUACUAAUAACCAAACUCUAUGCUUACAAGUUCUCAAGGAUUUAGCUGGUGCUGACCGCGUAAGUCUUAAGACAAUUGCGGCUGAUGGAGCACUGGGACAGGUAACCGCUACAAGGGAUCAGGUCGGGAGAAAGUAGAAGCAAGAAGCAGAGAAAGCUUUAAAGCAAAGAUUAGCCUGUGAAGACAGAUUAGUCAUUAUGGAUGCUUCUCUGAAGGAGUGUAUGCAGCAGUUGCGUUUUGCGCGAGAAGAGCAAGAAAAUAGGAUUUACGAUGCUAUUCUGAAGACAUCAAGAGAAUAUGAAGAAAUGAUAAUUGUGUUAGAAGAAAGGUUGGCGGAAACCAGUCAAAGAGUCACCAUGUUAGUUUCUCAGAAUAAUUCAGUUUACUGUUGAUUCAACACACCUCCAUGUUGAUACCUUUCAAGUACUUUCCCCUGUCAAUCUGCUAUGAAAUGCAUAGUAAAAGAAAAGUUGUAGAAAAUUUGUUCCUUUAGACGAAUAAUAGUUACAUAUUUUUGUUUUGUUGCUUU